Molecule: long non-coding RNA, 480 nt
Filed under: Cotesia glomerata
Lineage: Eukaryota; Metazoa; Arthropoda; Insecta; Hymenoptera; Braconidae
Description: uncharacterized LOC123269404, transcript variant X2
Source: RNAcentral
UUCGACGUAACUUGAAAAACAAUUAUUGAUAUUUGCUAACUUUUGCCGUUAUAAAUAAACAUAUGCAGACUUACUGGGUAUAAAGACCAUUUUGGGCACGUCAGCUGAUAAGAUAUUCUCUCUAAUAAGCAACUAUGUCAAAAACUGUUCUAAUAUUGUUACUACUGGGAGUUUUGGCGAUUACUUUCGCUAAGGGACAAGUCUGUCCCAUCUUUACGUGUAAUGUUUCUGGAGUGCCUUGCUGUGGUUUUCCCAAAUACACACUGAUAGAAGGAUUUAUUUUGCAGGUGUGAGGUAGAGGAUUCUACAAGUGGAUUAGGAUCAUGCAAAUUCAAACUGAUGUGGGGAGAAGGAAAAGAAUAACGCUUGAAAAAAACCCAGGCAGCUAAUUACACGUUCAAGAACUUCAACAGACUGGGUGAUCAUUUAUUUGUCAUUUUUAGAAUUUAUAAAUUUAUCUUAAUAAAAAAAUUACAUGAA